Long non-coding RNA from Tupaia belangeri chinensis (Chinese tree shrew), 654 nucleotides. RefSeq lists it as uncharacterized. Lineage: Eukaryota; Metazoa; Chordata; Mammalia; Scandentia; Tupaiidae. The record is from RefSeq and is a predicted model, not a curated record. The transcript has 2 exons.
CACGGCCCAGACAUGCAUGGGAGCAGUUAGUGCCCAGAAAGAACACGGAAUGCGAGAGUACGGUGUGAUCUGAGUGGCAAUGGCAGGUGCUUCCAAAGCUAAUAGAGAAACCUAAUUACACCUUCACUCAGGCUUGGACAGACAGACACGAGGACACACACACGCACACACACACACAGACAUCACACACUCCACACACCUGCCUAACCCCCGUACCCUCCCACACCGAGUCUUCAUCUGGGAGUUCUGCACCACCGGCUGCCUGACGCUGGAGCUCUGGAUUGGAGGCAAACUGAGGUUCCUCUGUGGCAGAGAAACAUGGCCGCUCACAUGGCUUCCCUCACCUUGGUUCUACGCAUUUUUUGGACAGGAUCAACAGCAAUUAUCAUCUGGACAUUACUUUUUGGAAAGGUAAUUAGAACACUAUUGUUUAUACAAUAUUGAAAAAAUACAAUUUUUUAUUGUUUGAACUCAAAUCACCACCCAGCACUUUAAGCCUACCCUAAAUAGCACCUACAAGAAAGGUUACAGCACAAGCGAACUGCUGGUUCACCAGGUGAGCAAGGUCGACAGGCCAGCAGACACCCUCCCUCCCCCAAGCAAUGAGAAGACAGCGUGCUAGGUUAGAGUUAAAGUACACCAGUACAUGUUAAA